This 286-nucleotide ribosomal RNA is filed under the name uncultured microorganism. Its description in RNAcentral is "partial 16S ribosomal RNA". It matches the Rfam family "Archaeal small subunit ribosomal RNA", at positions 330 to 568 of the family's 1478-position model. The record is from RNAcentral.
GUGCAGCAGUCGAGAAAACCUUCGCAAUGCAGGAAACUGCGACGAGGGAACUCCAAGUGCCUACGGCUCAGCGUAGGCUGUUCUCAAGCCUAGAAAGCUUGAGGAGUAAGGGCUGGGUAAGACGGGUGCCAUCUGUGGUAGCAGUCAAUAGAUUCGAUUUGUUACUGCAAGGCAUAAGCCGCCGCGGUAAUACCCGCAGCCCAAGUGUGGCCGCUUUAUUGGGCCUAAAGCGUCCGUAGCCGGCCCCGGUAAAUGCCUGGGGUAAAUCCGUGGAGCCCAACUUCAC